RNAcentral lists this ribosomal RNA (274 nucleotides) under uncultured bacterium. RNAcentral's name for it is "partial 16S ribosomal RNA". It matches the Rfam family "Bacterial small subunit ribosomal RNA", at positions 523 to 796 of the family's 1533-position model. The record is from RNAcentral.
AUACGGAGGGUGCAAGCGUUAUCCGGAUUUAUUGGGUUUAAAGGGUGCGCAGGCGGAAUGAUAAGUCAGUGGUGAAAUCCUACAGCUUAACUGUAGAACUGCCAUUGAUACUGUUGUUCUUGAGUACAUUUGAGGUAGGCGGAAUGUAUCAUGUAGCGGUGAAAUGCAUAGAUAUGAUACAGAACACCGAUAGCGAAGGCAGCUUACCAAACUGUAACUGACGCUCAGGCACGAAAGCGUGGGGAGCAAACAGGAUUAGAAACCCUAGUAGUCC